This 234-nucleotide unclassified non-coding RNA is filed under the name plant metagenome. RNAcentral's name for it is "partial contains small subunit ribosomal RNA, internal transcribed spacer 1, and 5.8S ribosomal RNA". The record is from RNAcentral.
UUUCCGUAGGUGAACCUGCGGAAGGAUCAUUAAAGUUAUAGUCCCCCGGCCCUCUGGGCUGGGGUCUUCUAUACCACCCUUUGUUCAUUACACCUUUGUUGCUUUGGCAGGCCUGCCCUCGGGCUGCUGGCUCCGGCCGGCUCGCGUCUGCCAGAGGACCUAAACUCUGUUUGUAUAUGAAGUCUGAGUACUAUAUAAUAGUUAAAACUUUCAACAACGGAUCUCUUGGUUCUG